UGUUAAUCUGAAAAAAAUAAUGUUUGUAGAUGAUAUAUGUUUCAAAAGUGAUUCUAUGUUAGCACCAGAUGAACUUCAAUCAAAUUUAGAGAUUUUAGAUUUGUUUCCAGCCACCGCAUAUUCUUAUUUCCUUGAAUUUCUUUGUCAGUAUCAUCUUAAUAAUGCCAGACAAUGUCAGGAUGCAUUUCAAGGUUUACAACUGGUUAUAGAAGAACAUUAUUUAAUAACUAUGUUUAGAGCGAAGGAAUCCUACACUUUGUUGGAAAUUGCUUUACAGUU
RNAcentral lists this long non-coding RNA (279 nucleotides) under Mytilus galloprovincialis (Mediterranean mussel). The record is from RNAcentral. Lineage: Eukaryota; Metazoa; Mollusca; Bivalvia; Mytilida; Mytilidae.